ACAAAUAAUCUGCGCAUGAGCCAAG
RNAcentral lists this non-coding RNA (25 nucleotides) under Mus musculus (house mouse). The record is from RNAcentral. Lineage: Eukaryota; Metazoa; Chordata; Mammalia; Rodentia; Muridae.